GCAAGUCGAGGGGUAACAUUGGAGCUUGCUUCAGAUGACGACCGGCGCACGGGUGCGUAACGCGUAUAGAAUCUACCUUACACUAAGGGAUAGCCUUUGGAAACGAAGAUUAAUACCUUAUAGUAUGAUGACUUGGCAUCAAGAUAUCAUUAAAGAUUACGGUGUAAGAUGACUAUGCGUUCUAUUAGCUAGAUGGUAAGGUAACGGCUUACCAUGGCAACGAUAGAUAGGGGCCCUGAGAGGGGGAUC
Molecule: ribosomal RNA, 249 nt
Filed under: uncultured bacterium
Lineage: Bacteria
Description: partial 16S ribosomal RNA
Rfam family: Bacterial small subunit ribosomal RNA
Source: RNAcentral